GACUGUGUCUAUACCAUCUUGAACACUCAGUCUCAUCUGAGUUUAGAAGUUAACUCAGGGUUGGACUUGGACAGUACUUGGAUAGGAGAAAUUAGAUUUAGUAA
RNAcentral lists this ribosomal RNA (104 nucleotides) under Erinaceus europaeus (western European hedgehog). Lineage: Eukaryota; Metazoa; Chordata; Mammalia; Eulipotyphla; Erinaceidae. The record is from RNAcentral.